This 301-nucleotide ribosomal RNA is filed under the name uncultured bacterium. Its description in RNAcentral is "partial 16S ribosomal RNA". It matches the Rfam family "Bacterial small subunit ribosomal RNA", at positions 509 to 807 of the family's 1533-position model. The record is from RNAcentral.
CAGCCGCCGCGGUAAUACGAAGGGUGCAAGCGUUACUCGGAAUUACUGGGCGUAAAGCGCACGCAGGCGGUCUGACAAGUCAGAUGUGAAAUCCCCGGGCUUAACCUGGGAACUGCAUUUGAAACUGUCAGGCUGGAGUCUUGUAGAGGGGGGUGGAAUUCCAGGUGUAGCGGUGAAAUGCGUAGAGAUCUGGAGGAAUACCGGUGGCGAAGGCGGCCCCUUGGACAAAGACUGACGCUCAGGUGCGAAAGCGUGGGGAGCAAACAGGAUUAGAUACCCCGGUAGUCCCUGUCUCUUAUAC